CCUACGGGUGGCAGCAGUGAGGAAUAUUGGUCAAUGGGAGGAAUCCUGAACCAGCCAUGCCGCGUGCAGGACGACGGCUCUACGAGUUGUAAACUGCUUUUGUACCGGGGUAAAAUGCUCUACGAGUAGGGUUUUGAAAGUACGGUACGAAUAAGGAUCGGCUAACUCCGUGCCAGCAGCCGCGGUAAUACGGAGGAUCCGAGCGUUAUCCGGAUUUAUUGGGUUUAAAGGGUGCGUAGGUUGUUUUAUAAGUUAGCGGUGAAAUACCGAUGCUCAACAUCGGGGCUGCCGCUGAUACUGUAGCACUAGAGAUCGGAUUCAGCAGGCGGAAUGUGUAGUGUCGCGGCGAACUGCAUAGAUAUUACCCAGAACACCGAUUGCGAAGGCAGCUUGCUAGGCCGGAUCUGACACUGAUGCACGAAAGCGUGGGGAUCGAACAGGAUUAGAUACCCGAGUAGUC
RNAcentral lists this ribosomal RNA (460 nucleotides) under uncultured bacterium. Its description in RNAcentral is "partial 16S ribosomal RNA". It matches the Rfam family "Bacterial small subunit ribosomal RNA", at positions 338 to 795 of the family's 1533-position model. The record is from RNAcentral.